AGCAGCCGCGGUAAUUCCAGCUCCAAUAGCGUAUAUUAAAGUUGUUGCAGUUAAAAAGCUCGUAGUUGAAUUUCGGGAUCAGUACGCUGGUCGUGCCUUUGGUAUGUACUGGUGUCACUGAUUCCUCCCUUCUGAAGAACCAUUAUGCCAUUUACUUGGUGUGGCGGGAAAUCAGGACUGUUACUUUGAAAAAAUUGAGUGUUUAAAGCAGGCUCGCGCUUGAAUACAUUAGCAUGGAAUAAUGAAAUAGGACGUUUGAUCUUAUUUUGUUGGUUUCUAGGAUCGACGUAAUGAUUAAUAGGGAUAGUUGGGGGCAUUAGUAUUCAAUUGUCAGAGGUGAAAUUCUUGGAUUUAUUGAAGACUAACUACUGCGAAAGCAUUUGCCAAGGAUGUUUUCAUUAAUCAAGAACGAAAGUU
Molecule: ribosomal RNA, 417 nt
Filed under: uncultured Glomeromycotina
Lineage: Eukaryota; Fungi; Glomeromycota
Description: SSU rRNA
Rfam family: Eukaryotic small subunit ribosomal RNA
Source: RNAcentral